This 210-nucleotide small nucleolar RNA is filed under the name Ciona savignyi (Pacific transparent sea squirt). RNAcentral's name for it is "Small nucleolar RNA U3 (ENSCSAVG00000012367.1)". It matches the Rfam family "Small nucleolar RNA U3". From Rfam's summary of the family: Small nucleolar RNAs (snoRNAs) are involved in the processing and modification of rRNA in the nucleolus. The record is from RNAcentral. Lineage: Eukaryota; Metazoa; Chordata; Ascidiacea; Phlebobranchia; Cionidae.
AAGAUCAUACUUUUAGGGAUCAUUUCUAUAGUGUGCAUCUUCAAAACGUCAUCAAACUAUGGCGAAUCCUCAACUACGAUAAUGAGUUGUAGGGAUUCCUUCUGAGCAUGAAGCUUGGUUCGUUGUAUCUUCGGAUAUUGCUAAGUAUUAAGAAUUGUUCUUUGAUUUCCAAAUUGGAGAUCUAGGAGGAAGGAAUCUCCGGCUGAGUAG